Molecule: ribosomal RNA, 253 nt
Filed under: uncultured bacterium
Lineage: Bacteria
Description: partial 16S ribosomal RNA
Rfam family: Bacterial small subunit ribosomal RNA
Source: RNAcentral
UACGUAGGUGGCAAGCGUUGUCCGGAUUUACUGGGUGUAAAGGGCGUGUAGCCGGGCUGACAAGUCAGAUGUGAAAUCCGGGGGCUCAACCCCCGAACUGCAUUUGAAACUGUUGGUCUUGAGUAUCGGAGAGGCAGGCGGAAUUCCUAGUGUAGCGGUGAAAUGCGUAGAUAUACGGAGGAACACCAGUGGCGAAGGCGGCCUGCUGGACAUUAACUGACGCUGAGGCGCGAAAGCGUGGGGAGCAAACAGG